RNAcentral lists this ribosomal RNA (497 nucleotides) under uncultured bacterium. RNAcentral describes it as "partial 16S ribosomal RNA". It matches the Rfam family "Bacterial small subunit ribosomal RNA", at positions 28 to 507 of the family's 1533-position model. The record is from RNAcentral.
GAUGAACGCUGGCGGCGUGCCUAAUACAUGCAAGUCGAGCGAACAGACGAGGAGCUUGCUCCUCUGACGUUAGCGGCGGACGGGUGAGUAACACGUGAAUAACCUACCUAUAAGACUGGGAUAACUUCGGGAAACCGGAGCUAAUACCGGAUAAUAUAUUGAACCGCAUGGUUCAAUAGUGAAAGACGGUUUUGCUGUCACUUAUAGAUGGAUCCGCGCCGCAUUAGCUAGUUGGUAAGGUAACGGCUUACCAAGGCAACGAUGCGUAGCCGACCUGAGAGGGUGAUCGGCCACACUGGAACUGAGACACGGUCCAGACUCCUACGGGAGGCAGCAGUAGGGAAUCUUCCGCAAAGGGCGAAAGCCUGACGGAGCAACGCCGCGUGAGUGAUGAAGGUCUUCGGAUCGUAAAACUCUGUUAUUAGGGAAGAACAAAUGUGUAAGUAACUAUGCACGUCUUGACGGUACCUAAUCAGAAAGCCACGGCUAACUACGUG